Molecule: ribosomal RNA, 253 nt
Filed under: uncultured bacterium
Lineage: Bacteria
Description: partial 16S ribosomal RNA
Rfam family: Bacterial small subunit ribosomal RNA
Source: RNAcentral
UACGUAGGGUGCGAGCGUUAAUCGGAAUUACUGGGCGUAAAGCGUGCGUAGGCGGUUCGUUAAGUCAGCUGUGGAAGCCCCGGGCUCAACCUGGGAACUGCGGUUGAAACUGGCGAACUAGAAUCUGGCAGAGGGGGGUGGAAUUCCACGUGUAGCAGUGAAAUGCGUAGAGAUGUGGAGGAACACCGAUGGCGAAGGCAGCCCCCUGGGCUGAGAUUGACGCUCAGGCACGAAAGCGUGGGGAGCAAACAGG